UACAGAGGGUGCAAGCGUUGUCCGGAAUUACUGGGCGUAAAGGGCGCGUAGGCGGUAUAAUAAGUUAGGUGUGAAAGCUUCGGGCUUAACCCGGGAAGUGCACGUAAAACUGUUAUACUCGAGUUGGGGAGGGGAAAGCGGAAUUCCUAGUGUAGAGGUGAAAUUUGUAGAUAUUAGCAGGAACACCAAUGGCGAAGGCGGCGUUCUGGAACGAUACUGACGCUGAGGCGCGAUAGCGUGGGGAGCAAACAGG
This 253-nucleotide ribosomal RNA is filed under the name uncultured bacterium. RNAcentral's name for it is "partial 16S ribosomal RNA". It matches the Rfam family "Bacterial small subunit ribosomal RNA", at positions 524 to 776 of the family's 1533-position model. The record is from RNAcentral.